GAUGAAGAACGUAGUGAAAUGCGAUAAGUAAUGUGAAUUGCAGAAUUCAGUGAAUCAUCGAAUCUUUGAACGCACAUUGCGCCCCUUGGUAUUCCGGGGGGCAUGCCUGUUCGAGCGUCAUUACAACCCUCAAGCUCUGCUUGGUCUUGGGCGUCACCGGUCCCCGGUGUGCCUUAAAAUCAGUGGCGGCGCCAUCUGGCUCUAAGCGUAGUACAUACUCUCGCUACAGACGUCCGGUGGAUGCUGGCCAGCAACCCCCAAUUUAUCAAGGUUGACCUCGGAUCAGGUAGGGAUACCCGCUGAACUUAAGCAUAUCAUAAGCGGAGGA
This 328-nucleotide unclassified non-coding RNA is filed under the name soil metagenome. RNAcentral's name for it is "partial contains 5.8S ribosomal RNA, internal transcribed spacer 2, and large subunit ribosomal RNA". The stretch from base 1 to 120 matches the Rfam family "5.8S ribosomal RNA", at positions 35 to 154 of the family's 154-position model. The record is from RNAcentral.